AAAUUGAAGAGUUUGAUCAUGGCUCAGAUUGAACGCUGGCGGCAGGCCUAACACAUGCAAGUCGAGCGGUAGCACAGAGAGCUUGCUCUCGGGUGACGAGCGGCGGACGGGUGAGUAAUGUCUGGGAAACUGCCUGAUGGAGGGGGAUAACUACUGGAAACGGUAGCUAAUACCGCAUAACGUCGCAAGACCAAAGUGGGGGACCUUCGGGCCUCAUGCCAUCAGAUGUGCCCAGAUGGGAUUAGCUAGUAGGUGGGGUAACGGCUCACCUAGGCGACGAUCCCUAGCUGGUCUGAGAGGAUGACCAGCCACACUGGAACUGAGACACGGUCCAGACUCCUACGGGAGGCAGCAGUGGGGAAUAUUGCACAAUGGGCGCAAGCCUGAUGCAGCCAUGCCGCGUGUGUGAAGAAGGCCUUCGGGUUGUAAAGCACUUUCAGCGGGGAGGAAGGCGAUAAGGUU
Molecule: ribosomal RNA, 462 nt
Filed under: Klebsiella pneumoniae
Lineage: Bacteria; Pseudomonadati; Pseudomonadota; Gammaproteobacteria; Enterobacterales; Enterobacteriaceae
Description: bacterial SSU rRNA
Rfam family: Bacterial small subunit ribosomal RNA
Source: RNAcentral